This 253-nucleotide ribosomal RNA is filed under the name uncultured bacterium. Its description in RNAcentral is "partial 16S ribosomal RNA". It matches the Rfam family "Bacterial small subunit ribosomal RNA", at positions 524 to 776 of the family's 1533-position model. The record is from RNAcentral.
UACGUAGGGGGCUAGCGUUGUCCGGAAUCAUUGGGCGUAAAGCGCGUGUAGGCGGUCCGAUAAGUCCGCUGUGAAAGUCGGGGGCUCAACCCUCGGAUGCCGGUGGAUACUGUCGGGCUUGAGUACGGAAGAGGCGAGUGGAAUUCCUGGUGUAGCGGUGAAAUGCGCAGAUAUCAGGAGGAACACCAAUUGCGAAGGCAGCUCGCUGGGACGUAACUGACACUGAGGCGCGAAAGCGUGGGGAGCGAACAGG